This 504-nucleotide ribosomal RNA is filed under the name uncultured bacterium. Its description in RNAcentral is "bacterial SSU rRNA". It matches the Rfam family "Bacterial small subunit ribosomal RNA", at positions 28 to 492 of the family's 1533-position model. The record is from RNAcentral.
GACGAACGCUGGCGGCGUGCCUAAUACAUGCAAGUCGAACCCACUCUCGUUUAGAUUGAAGGAGCUUGCUCCUGAUUGAUAAACAUUUGAGUGAGUGGCGGACGGGUGAGUAACACGUGGGUAACCUGCCCUAAAGUGGGGGAUAACAUUUGGAAACAGAUGCUAAUACCGCAUAAACCCAACACCGCAUGGUGUAGGGUUGAAAGAUGGUUUCGGCUAUCACUUUAGGAUGGACCCGCGGUGCAUUAGUUAGUUGGUGAGGUAAAAGGCUCACCAAGACCGUGAUGCAUAGCCGACCUGAGAGGGUAAUCGGCCACACUGGGACUGAGACACGGCCCAGACUCCUACGGGAGGCAGCAGUAGGGAAUCUUCCACAAUGGACGAAAGUCUGAUGGAGCAACGCCGCGUGAGUGAAGAAGUUUUCGGAUCGUAAAACUCUGUUGUUGGAGAAGAAUGUAUCUGAUAGUAACUGAUCAGGUAGUGACGGUAUCCAACCAGAAAGCC